UGCAGGGUAAUGUAAUGGUAGCAUUCUGGUCUCCUUAACCGGAAACGGUGGUUCGAAUCCAUCCCCUGCAA
Molecule: transfer RNA, 71 nt
Filed under: Caudoviricetes sp.
Lineage: Duplodnaviria; Heunggongvirae; Uroviricota; Caudoviricetes
Description: tRNA-Arg
Rfam family: tRNA
About the family: Transfer RNA (tRNA) molecules are approximately 80 nucleotides in length. Their secondary structure includes four short double-helical elements and three loops (D, anti-codon, and T loops).
Source: RNAcentral